This is a non-coding RNA of Pelobates cultripes (western spadefoot toad), 81 nucleotides long. The record is from the annotation of a GenBank genome assembly. Lineage: Eukaryota; Metazoa; Chordata; Amphibia; Anura; Pelobatidae.
ACUGCCUAGAAAUGACGAAAAUUAUGUUGGUAGGGACAUCUGAGAUACAUUGAUGAAUACCAACGUCUCUGAUCUGGCUAA